CCACUCAAAAAAAGAAAAGAAAAACAGUCCCGAUGCGAGGCGCACAUCCAGCCCCGAUGCGAGGCGCUCGACUGGAUCGGCCGGAGGUGCGGGAGGCGCUGAAUGCUAUUCGCCCGCCCGAGGGGUUCAGGUCGCGAUUAGCCAACACGGACAAUCAAUACAGCCGUCGCCUCGUCUAAGCGAAACUGCUCCACGGAGAUUUCAAGGAGGCAAUCAUUCUUCAGUUUCUGUGCAGAAUUCAUGGCGGGUGAUGUGCACAUCCUCUGCCUCGUGAUACAGGUGAUUUGAGCAGAUCUUGAACUUGGGUAAAAAAAUUAGUUCCUUCGACUCAUAAUCUCCAAUGGCUUCUGAACAGAUGCAUACAUUCCUCAACCAUAUUAGCUGGUCAGCCGAGCCUUCUUGAGAAAUUAGUCAGCCUCUCCCUGAUAAGGCAGAAUAAUCAACUCAUAACUGUAUCUGGUGUGCUUUCGUUAUGGUAUGAAUGAGCGUUACCAGUUCAUUGGUUUUAACAAAGCUAGGGAAUCUAACAGUUACUUUGGGUCUGUCGUUACCUUUGUACAUCCUCACAGAAAAUAUCAGUCUGUUCAUAUUUAGAGGUUAUUUAAUAUAGGUGGUUACUCUUCCAACUGCAACUAUGUGGCCUGGAACUAUAUUCUUGUUGUCGGCACAUUCAGGCACCUUGAUAUUCUCAGUUAUUUUUAUUCUUGCUGAGCUUUUGUGUUGCAACAACAGAACACUUGCAUGCAUAAUGAAAGAUUUUAGUAUUUUGAAAUUCGUUGUGCAGUGAAGAUAGUUACGAUAUUUUUGGUUCCACACUAUUGUUGGGUUUUUUUAACGCCUGUAAUUUGAUUAAAGGGACAUCCUGUAUCUCACAAAACAAAUGUUGAGUCUAUUGGU
This is a long non-coding RNA of Triticum aestivum (bread wheat), 897 nucleotides long. RefSeq lists it as uncharacterized. The transcript is spliced from 3 exons. The record is from RefSeq and is a predicted model, not a curated record. Lineage: Eukaryota; Viridiplantae; Streptophyta; Magnoliopsida; Poales; Poaceae.